This 402-nucleotide ribosomal RNA is filed under the name uncultured bacterium. RNAcentral's name for it is "partial 16S ribosomal RNA". It matches the Rfam family "Bacterial small subunit ribosomal RNA", at positions 360 to 776 of the family's 1533-position model. The record is from RNAcentral.
AAUAUUGGGCAAUGGGCGCAAGCCUGACCCAGCGACGCCGCGUGAGGGAAGAAGGUCUNCGGAUUNUNAACCACUUUUACAGGGGNCGAAGUAAGUGACGGUACCCUGAAAACAAGCCACGGCCAACUACGUGCAAGCCGCCGCGGUAAGUCGUCGGUGGCGAGCGUUAUCCGGCAUUACUGGGUUUAAAGGGUGGGUAGGGGGGAUCGCAAGUCAGUGGUGAACCCCGUGGGCUCAACCCACGGCCUGCCAUUGAAACUGCGGUUCUUGAGAAUGGGAGAGGUAAACGGAAUUCCCGGUGUAGCGGUGAAAUGCGUAGAUAUCGGGAGGAACAUCGGUGGCGAAGGCGGUUUACUGGACCAUAACUGACGCUGAGACACGAAAGCGUGGGGAGCAAACAGG